UUUGUUUGUUUGUUUGUCUGUGAGCAACUUUACGGAGAAAGUAACAGACGGAUUGACCUGAAAUUUUCACCAGAGGUGCGUCUCAGCCCCAGGAGGAUCCCAUUACAUUUUGGUGGUGAUCCGGAUCGCCUUCUGGAUCCAGGAAUUUUUUGAAGGAUUCUUUAUCAUUGUGAGAUAGGGCAAAUUUUGGAAUUUUUGCAUUUAACUCUAUAAAAAUGUCCAGAGUCUUUAGUAAAAAAUGACACAAAAGGAUCUCAAUGAGUUUUAUGAGGUGUCAAAGGUUGAUCCUGAUCCAGACAAAAUUCCGGAUACUGUGAUCCAGAACACACAAAAAUAAGGGUGUUGUUGGAAUUUUCAAUGCUGAAAGAUAACCAAUGGGCGGCACAGUGGUGUAGAUAGGUGGCACAUUGGUGUAGUGGUUAGCACUGUCGCCUCACAGCCAGA
This 444-nucleotide long non-coding RNA is filed under the name Xyrichtys novacula (pearly razorfish). Lineage: Eukaryota; Metazoa; Chordata; Actinopteri; Labriformes; Labridae. The record is from RNAcentral.